UGCAAGAGAACUUUUUCUGUUGUGAGCAGA
This 30-nucleotide non-coding RNA is filed under the name Mus musculus (house mouse). Lineage: Eukaryota; Metazoa; Chordata; Mammalia; Rodentia; Muridae. The record is from RNAcentral.